GCACACUCCAGCCCCUCCUGGAAGAACCUACCUUUUUCCAGAAAUCCUCAACCCAGUCUCCACCUACCUGCCCUAAGUUCCCUUGAGACUCCCUUUUUACCAGGCCCCUCCCCCUGGGAGAAGGUGCUUUGAGCAUGAGCUCCCCUUCCUCCAUUCCUAUGAUGUAAGGUUUUCUUCUUGGUCACUUUGCAAGCUGGGGACCUCUGGCCAGCAAUGCCCUGCCAGGUCUCACUCGCCAGGCUACCUGCUGCAGGAGAUGGCCUUUACUUGCUGCAGGAGACGACCCACCCGCUCAGUCCAGUUGGCGGAGUCUAGCUUAUGCACUGGUUCCCGAGUUCUCGUCCCACGAGCCCAAGAAGAAUGAGGAUGCACUGGCAAUUGAAGAGUGAGCAAGGAGAUUUUACCCAGUGAGAACAUGUUUAGGACACUUUUCUACAGUGGAAGAAAAGCUUCUGUCUGCAGGUCCAAAGGCACCGUCCUGAGUUGGAAAAAGAUGAAUCAGACCCAGUCCCUCCCUGGAGUUGCUCAGAGGUCUGGAGGAGAAAGGCAUAGAGGUACGAUGUCUUCGUAUGCUCACCGUGCCCCAAAUUCGGUUUUCACUUGCAUCCGAGGGUACUGUCUGAGAGAAGGGCAAAAGCCAACAAGAAAAAAAAAAAAGCCUUCCCCAGCACUGGAGAUCUGGCCUCUUCACUUACAUGCUGUCUACAAAUGCACCAUUAUUCUUUCCCUAUCAAAUCGACUCCUUUAAUCUUUUCUACAGCCCUUUCAUCAUCCUUGUUGCUUGUCUCAACCACUUUUAAGUCUGCCAACAUCUUUCUGAUCCUUAAGUAAACAGGACAAAUCACUCUGCUGGGAGGCAUGAACUCUCUGCCCUACCUUGGCCUUCUGGAAGUAACGCUGAUUGAACAACAGACAUGCAGUGGGAGGCUGAGCUCCGUUUCUCAUGCCUGUGUGGAGAGCAACUGCGGAAGGUAAUUGUAAGAUUAUUGCAUCUGAAUCAGAACCACAGGAGCAUGCAGCCUUGGCUCACCUGGGCAGUCCUGAGAGUCUGCAGGGACAGCUGCUGGGCUUUUGGGGACUCGCAGGGCAGCAAAGCUAUUAGACCUUUAUACACUUGAUUUUGGUACUUGGGAUUGCCGUGGACCAAAGAAUCCAACAGAACCUGCACUUCCUCCUGGGUCUCUUCUGACUUAGACUUUGCCAAAAAUUCUGCUAUGGAUCGUACACCUGAGCAAAGAAGAGAGGAAAUGCUAAAUUGGAAGGGAUUUAUGAAAAAAUC
Molecule: long non-coding RNA, 1279 nt
Filed under: Homo sapiens (human)
Lineage: Eukaryota; Metazoa; Chordata; Mammalia; Primates; Hominidae
Description: HSALNT0006110
Source: RNAcentral